Molecule: ribosomal RNA, 253 nt
Filed under: uncultured bacterium
Lineage: Bacteria
Description: partial 16S ribosomal RNA
Rfam family: Bacterial small subunit ribosomal RNA
Source: RNAcentral
UACGUAGGGUGCAAGCGUUGUCCGGAAUUAUUGGGCGUAAAGAGCGUGUAGGCGGUCCGGUUAGUCCGCUGUGAAAGUCCAGGGCUCAACCCUGGAAUGCCGGUGGAUACUGUCGGGCUAGAGUCCGGAAGGGGCGAGUGGAAUUCCUGGUGUAGCGGUGAAAUGCGCAGAUAUCAGGAGGAACACCAAUGGCGAAGGCAGCUCGCUGGGAAGUGACUGACGCUGAGACGCGAAAGCGUGGGGAGCAAACAGG